AUACGUAGGGGGCGAGCGUUGUCCGGAAUGAUUGGGCGUAAAGGGCGCGUAGGCGGCCCGGUAAGUCUGGAGUGAAAGUCCUGUUUUUAAGAUGGGAAUUGCUUUGGAUACUGUCGGGCUUGAGUGCAGGAGAGGUAAGUGGAAUUCCCAGUGUAGCGGUGAAAUGCGUAGAGAUUGGGAGGAACACCAGUGGCGAAGGCGACUGACUGGACUGUAACUGACGCUGAGGCGCGAAAGUGUGGGGAGCAAACAGGAUUAGAUACCCUGGUAGUCCACACUGUAAACGAUGAAUGCUAGGUGUAGGGGGUAUCGACCCCUUCUGUGCCGCAGUCAACACAAUAAGCAUUCCGCCUGGGGAGUACGGCCGCAAGGUUGAAACUCAAAGGAAUUGACGGGG
Molecule: ribosomal RNA, 397 nt
Filed under: uncultured bacterium
Lineage: Bacteria
Description: partial 16S ribosomal RNA
Rfam family: Bacterial small subunit ribosomal RNA
Source: RNAcentral